GUCCUUUUUGAUUGAUUCAACAUAAGGUUUGAAUUUCAAAUGGUCUGAUUCUGACCUGGUUUAGCAAAACCGUUUUGUCUUUUUAUAUUACAUCAAUUCUUCAACAUCUCAUAUAGGUUAUGGUUUUGGUUUUUGAAAUGUUUUGAUCUUAACUGCUACUGAAACAACAUUAAUUGUCAAAAUGCAUAUCUGGUGCAUUAAAAGU
RNAcentral lists this long non-coding RNA (205 nucleotides) under Mytilus galloprovincialis (Mediterranean mussel). The record is from RNAcentral. Lineage: Eukaryota; Metazoa; Mollusca; Bivalvia; Mytilida; Mytilidae.